This 253-nucleotide ribosomal RNA is filed under the name uncultured bacterium. RNAcentral's name for it is "partial 16S ribosomal RNA". It matches the Rfam family "Bacterial small subunit ribosomal RNA", at positions 524 to 776 of the family's 1533-position model. The record is from RNAcentral.
UACAGAGGGUGCGAGCGUUAAUCGGAAUUACUGGGCGUAAAGGGCGCGUAGGCGGUCAUGUAAGUGAGAUGUGAAAUCCCUGGGCUUAACCUAGGAACUGCAUCUCAUACUGUGUGACUGGAGUGCAGUAGAGGGUAGUGGAAUUUCCGGUGUAGCGGUGAAAUGCGUAGAUAUCGGAAGGAACACCAGUGGCGAAGGCGGCUACCUGGACUGACACUGACGCUGAGGCGCGAGAGCGUGGGGAGCAAACAGG